RNAcentral lists this ribosomal RNA (449 nucleotides) under uncultured bacterium. RNAcentral describes it as "partial 16S ribosomal RNA". It matches the Rfam family "Bacterial small subunit ribosomal RNA", at positions 30 to 523 of the family's 1533-position model. The record is from RNAcentral.
AUUGAACGCUGGCGGCAGGCCUAACACAUGCAAGUCGAGCGAGGUAGCAAUACCUAGCGGCGGACGGGUGAGUAACGCGUGGGAACGUGCCCCUUGGUACGGAAUAGCCCCGGGAAACUGGGAGUAAUACCGUAUGAGCUCUACGGAGGAAAGAUUUAUCGCCAAGGGAUCGGCCCGCGUUGGAUUAGGUAGUUGGUGGGGUAAUGGCCUACCAAGCCGACGAUCCAUAGCUGGUUUGAGAGGAUGAUCAGCCACACUGGGACUGAGACACGGCCCAGACUCCUACGGGAGGCAGCAGUGGGGAAUCUUAGACAAUGGGCGCAAGCCUGAUCUAGCCAUGCCGCGUGAGCGAUGAAGGCCUUAGGGUUGUAAAGCUCUUUCAGCUGGGAAGAUAAUGACUGUACCAGCAGAAGAAGCCCCGGCUAACUCCGUGCCAGCAGCCGCAGUAA